UCGCCUACGGGACGCAGCAGUGAGGAAUAUUGGUCAAUGGCCGAGAGGCUGAACCAGCCAAGUCGCGUGAGGGAAGACGGCCCUACGGGUUGUAAACCUCUUUUGUCGGGGAGCAAAGAGAGUCACGUGUGACUCAUUGAGAGUACCCGAAGAAAAAGCAUCGGCUAACUCCGUGCCAGCAGCCGCGGUAAUACGGAGGAUGCGAGCGUUAUCCGGAUUUAUUGGGUUUAAAGGGUGCGUAGGCGGGCUUUUAAGUCAGCGGUAAAAAUUCGGGGCUCAACCCCGUCCGGCCGUUGAAACUGGGG
RNAcentral lists this ribosomal RNA (305 nucleotides) under uncultured bacterium. RNAcentral describes it as "bacterial SSU rRNA". It matches the Rfam family "Bacterial small subunit ribosomal RNA", at positions 335 to 638 of the family's 1533-position model. The record is from RNAcentral.